This 441-nucleotide ribosomal RNA is filed under the name uncultured bacterium. RNAcentral's name for it is "partial 16S ribosomal RNA". It matches the Rfam family "Bacterial small subunit ribosomal RNA", at positions 339 to 795 of the family's 1533-position model. The record is from RNAcentral.
CCACGGGAGGCAGCAGUAGGGAAUCUUUCACAAUGGGCGAAAGCCUGAUGGAGCAACGCCGCGUGCAGGAUGAAGGCCUUCGGGUUGUAAACUGCUUUUAUAAGCGAGAAAUAUGAUGGUAACUUAUGAAUAAGGAUCGGCUAACUACGUGCCAGCAGCCGCGGUCAUACGUAGGAUCCGAGCAUUAUCCGGAGUGACUGGGUGUAAAGAGUUGCGUAGGUGGCAUAAUAAGUAGCUAGUGAAAUCUGGUGGCUCAACCAUUCAGACUAUUAGCUAAACUGUUAAGCUCGAGACCGUUAGGGGUAACUGGAAUUUCGAGUGUAGGAGUGAAAUCCGUAGAUAUUAGAAGGAACACCAAUAGCGUAGGCAGGUUGCUGGGACGGGUCUGACACUAAGGCACGAAAGCGUAGGGAGCAAACGGGAUUAGAUACCCUAGUAGUC